Molecule: long non-coding RNA, 573 nt
Organism: Callithrix jacchus (white-tufted-ear marmoset)
Lineage: Eukaryota; Metazoa; Chordata; Mammalia; Primates; Cebidae
Source: RefSeq, a predicted model, not a curated record
CUAUCUCUCCCGAUCACGCUCCCUCUGGUCUCCAGCCCUGACAUUCAAUGCGUCUCCCACGGAACUCGUCAAAGAAACGACAUGCCAUCGUCUGCAAAAUUAUAAUUUAACGAGAAAAUUGUCAAAGGCUCGAAGGAAUUGUGCCGGAGGUGCUGUCCCCUGCGUGGAGAACCGAUGCUCUUUGGAACCCCCCCAACACCCAAAUGUUCUAGAAGCAUCACUCAGAUCCGGUCGGGGGGAAAGCUGGGAGAAUAGCGAGUGGACAAGGACGAGAGAACACUCCACACACGUCUUUGGUUCAAGAAGAAGGCACUCACCGACCCCAGCAUCCUCCCUCCCUCCCUGUCUCUCUUUCCUCUCUCUCUCUUUCUCUCGCUCUCUCGUGGGGGAAGGGUUGGCACCCGGCAGGCGGCCCAAGCCGGGUCCCAGGCCAGGGAAUCCUGUCAUCCAGCACAGUCCUCGGGAGAAAUCUUUGGUAUCAGGCGUGAUUUUCCAAUCACAGACAUGAGCUUGAGUGAGGUAGCCUUUACCUGGGUGGGGGCGCGUUUCACCAGAAGUGUCUUUUGCAUUCUC